AGUGAACGCUGGCGGUAGGCCUAACACAUGCAAGUCGAACGGCAGCACAGUAAGAGCUUGCUCUUACGGGUGUCGAGUGGCGGACGGGUGCGUAAUACAUCGGAAUCUACUUUUUCGUGGGGGAUAACGUAGGGAAACUUACGCUAAUACCGCAUACGACCUACGUGUGAAAGCAGGGGAUCUUCUGACCUUGCGCGAUUGAAUGAGCCGAUGUCGGAUUAGCUAGUUGGCGGGGUAAAGGCCCACCAAGGCGACGAUCCGUAGAUGGUCUGAGAGGAUGAUCAGACACACUGGAACUGAGACACGGUACAGACUCCUACGGGAGGCAGCAGUGGGGAAUAUUGGACAAUGGGCGCAAGCCUGAUACAGCCAUACCGCGUGGGUGAAGAAGGACUUCGGGUUGUAAAGCCCUUUUGUUGGGAAAGAAAAGCAGCAGGUUAAUACCCCGCUGUUCUGACGGUACCCAAAGAAUAAGCACCGGCUAACUUCGUG
Molecule: ribosomal RNA, 492 nt
Filed under: uncultured bacterium
Lineage: Bacteria
Description: partial 16S ribosomal RNA
Rfam family: Bacterial small subunit ribosomal RNA
Source: RNAcentral